GAUGAACGCUAGCGGCAGGCCUAAUACAUGCAAGUCGAACGAUACCAGAGAGCUUGCUUUCUGGGAAAGUGGCGCACGGGUGCGUAACGCGUAUGCAACCUACCUUAAUCAGGGGGAUAGCCUCUCGAAAGAGAGAUUAACACCGCAUAACAUUAUGAUAUGGCAUCAUAUUAUAAUCAAAUAUUUAUAGGAUUAAGAUGGGCAUGCGUGACAUUAGCUAGUUGGUGAGGUAACGGCUCACCAAGGCUACGAUGUCUAGGGGAUCUGAGAGGAUGACCCCCCACACUGGUACUGAGACACGGACCAGACUCCUACGGGAGGCAGCAGUAAGGAAUAUUGGUCAAUGGAGGCAACUCUGAACCAGCCAUGCCGCGUGCAGGAAGACGGCCCUAUGGGUUGUAAACUGCUUUUAUACGGGAAUAAACCUCUCUACGUGUAGAGAGUUGAAUGUACUGUAAGAAUAAGGAUCGGCUAACUCCGUGCCAGCCGCCGCAGUAA
Molecule: ribosomal RNA, 498 nt
Filed under: uncultured bacterium
Lineage: Bacteria
Description: partial 16S ribosomal RNA
Rfam family: Bacterial small subunit ribosomal RNA
Source: RNAcentral